Molecule: ribosomal RNA, 253 nt
Filed under: uncultured bacterium
Lineage: Bacteria
Description: partial 16S ribosomal RNA
Rfam family: Bacterial small subunit ribosomal RNA
Source: RNAcentral
UACGUAGGGUGCAAGCGUUGUCCGGAAUUAUUGGGCGUAAAGAGCUCGUAGGCGGUCUGUCGCGUCGGCUGUGAAAACCCGGGGCUCAACCCCGGGCCUGCAGUCGAUACGGGCAGACUAGAGUGCGGUAGGGGAGAAUGGAAUUCCUGGUGUAGCGGUGAAAUGCGCAGAUAUCAGGAGGAACACCGGUGGCGAAGGCGGGUCUCUGGGCAGUAACUGACGCUGAGGAGCGAAAGCGUGGGGAGCGAACAGG